RNAcentral lists this ribosomal RNA (497 nucleotides) under uncultured bacterium. RNAcentral's name for it is "partial 16S ribosomal RNA". It matches the Rfam family "Bacterial small subunit ribosomal RNA", at positions 28 to 507 of the family's 1533-position model. The record is from RNAcentral.
GAUGAACGCUGGCGGCGUGCCUAAUACAUGCAAGUCGAGCGAACGGACGAGAAGCUUGCUUCUCUGAUGUUAGCGGCGGACGGGUGAGUAACACGUGGAUAACCUACCUAUAAGACUGGGAUAACUUCGGGAAACCGGAGCUAACACCGGAUGAUAUUUUGAACCGCAUGGUUCAAAAGUGAAAGACGGUCUUGCUGUCACUUAUAGAUGGAUCCGCGCUGCAUUAGCUAGUUGGUAAGGUAACGGCUUACCAAGGCAACGAUGCAUAGCCGACCUGAGAGGGUGAUCGGCCACACUGGAACUGAGACACGGUCCAGACUCCUACGGGAGGCAGCAGUAGGGAAUAUUCCGCAAUGGGCGAAAGCCUGACGGAGCAACGCCGCGUGAGUGAUGAAGGUCUUCGGAUCGUAAAACUCUGUUAUUAGGGAAGAACAUAUGUGUAAGUAACUGUGCACAUCUUGACGGUACCUAAUCAGAAAGCCACGGCUAACUACGUG